GUCCCCAUGGUCAAGAGGUUAAGACACCGCCCUUUCACGGCGGUAUCGGGAGUUCAAUUCUCCCUGGGGACGCCA
RNAcentral lists this transfer RNA (75 nucleotides) under Candidatus Goldiibacteriota bacterium HGW-Goldbacteria-1. Its description in RNAcentral is "Candidatus Goldbacteria bacterium HGW-Goldbacteria-1 tRNA-Glu". It matches the Rfam family "tRNA". Rfam says of the family: Transfer RNA (tRNA) molecules are approximately 80 nucleotides in length. Lineage: Bacteria; Candidatus Goldiibacteriota. The record is from RNAcentral.